AGGACGAACGCUGGCGGCGUGCUUAACACAUGCAAGUCGAACGAUGAAGCCCAGCUUGCUGGGUGGAUUAGUGGCGAACGGGUGAGUAACACGUGAGUAACCCGCCCUUGACUCUGGGAUAAGCACUGGAAACGGUGUCUAAUACCGGAUAUUUCAGCUGGCCGCAUGGUCUGGUUGUGGAAAGAAUUUUUGGUCAAGGAUGGACUCGCGGCCUAUCAGGUAGUUGGGUGAGGGUAAAUGGGCUCACCCAAGCCCUACGACGGGUAGCCGGCCUGAGAGGGUGACCGGCCACACUGGGACUGAGACACGGCCCAGACUCCUACGGGAGGCAGCAGUGGGGAAUAUUGCACAAUGGGCGAAAGCCUGAAUGCAGCAACGCCGCGUGAGGGACGACGGCCUUCGGGUUGUAAACCUCUUUUAGUAGGGAAGAAGCGAAAGUGACGGUACCUGCAGAAAAAGCACCGGCUAACUACGUGCCAGCCGCUGC
Molecule: ribosomal RNA, 487 nt
Filed under: uncultured bacterium
Lineage: Bacteria
Description: bacterial SSU rRNA
Rfam family: Bacterial small subunit ribosomal RNA
Source: RNAcentral